RNAcentral lists this ribosomal RNA (372 nucleotides) under uncultured bacterium. RNAcentral describes it as "bacterial SSU rRNA". It matches the Rfam family "Bacterial small subunit ribosomal RNA", at positions 525 to 896 of the family's 1533-position model. The record is from RNAcentral.
ACGUAGGGUGCAAGCGUUGUCCGGAAUUACUGGGUGUAAAGGGAGCGCAGGCGGACCGGCAAGUUGGAAGUGAAAUCUAUGGGCUCAACCCAUAAAUUGCUUUCAAAACUGCUGGCCUUGAGUAGUGCAGAGGUAGGUGGAAUUCCCGGUGUAGCGGUGGAAUGCGUAGAUAUCGGGAGGAACACCAGUGGCGAAGGCGACCUACUGGGCACCAACUGACGCUGAGGCUCGAAAGCAUGGGUAGCAAACAGGAUUAGAUACCCUGGUAGUCCAUGCCGUAAACGAUGAUUACUAGGUGUUGGAGGAUUGACCCCUUCAGUGCCGCAGUUAACACAAUAAGUAAUCCACCUGGGGAGUACGACCGCAAGGUUG